UCCACCUGAGACAGCAAGCAAUUUGAUAUCGAUUUUAUAUGUGCAUGUAUAAUUUAAAACCUUUUCCCAUGUUAGUUAUUUUGUGGAAGAGAACUUGAAUAAAAAAAUUAAGAAAGUAAAAUAUAGUAUUGGACUUAUUUUUCUUAGAGUGACUAUAGUUAGAGGUAUAGGAUAAAUUGGGGUAGGGGAAUUGCAGAGACAUAGGUUUUGGAUUGAUAUAAGGAAAAACUUUCUCCAUAUUAUAGCUGUUCAAAAGUAGAAUGGGCUACUUUAGGUGGCGAUGGAUUCUUCUUACAAUAUACUUUCAAAUAGAGGCUGGAAAACAAUGUAUUGGCCCCACAUAGGCAUGUUCUAGAUAGUCCUUGAUGUCCCUUCCAAUUUGUAAGUUUUGCAAUUAAAAAAAACCUAAACCCUUACUUUUCAUCAUUGAAUCAAUACUGUAUAUUGAUUCCAAGUCAAAAGAGCAGUAAGGGCUAAGCAAUGGGGUUUAAGUGACUUGCUCAGGGUCACACAGCCAGAAAGUGUUGAAAUCCAGAUUUGAACUCAAGACGUCUUGUCUCUAAGCCUGUCUCUCAAUCCACUGAUCCACCUAGCUUCCCCCUGCUUCUGUGAUUUUGUAAUAUGCUCAUGUUUCAUAAAUUCAAAGCCCAGACUUGUGAGAAGCAGAGUCAGGGGGCUCAUAAAGAGGUUGCUAUAUCUGAGAUGUUACACAAAUGGAUUCCAUUGCAUUAUCACCUCAACUGUUCCCAAGACCAAUCACAAGGAUUUGUUUGGCCUGAAAACUUUUCAGACUCCUAUAACCCUGACUGUGUAGGAUUUGUCUUGGAAACUUGUUGAUUUAUGUGAGAAGAUGAAAAACCAGAAUGGUGAAGAGCAGUGGGGGUAUAAGGCAGAAAUUUCUCUUGGAAUAGGGACAGAGUUCAUGGAUGAAACAGAAUGCUCUUCCAUGGGGAGUAAUUGGCAGCAAGAAGCAGUCUUCUAUUAGAUACUGUGAGCCAAGAAAGAUAUUCCACCCACAUGUCACUGAAUGAGCACACCAGAACAUCUGUAGCUCAGAGGAUGGGAACUAUUCUACACAGUUUAUCAGCGAUAAACAUUUCAUGGAUACAUCUAUAGUUGGGAAGCUUGAACUGCCACUGAUCCCCAUCAGGAGCCCUUGAAGCUGUGCUUUUGACUGCAUGGACCUUGCCACAAUACUUCAGUUAAAUUCUCCCCCUGGAAAAUUCAUCAUCAUUGAAGCCUUCUCCACCUUGAACAUCCAUCAGAACCUGGAGACCACCAUGGAAUAUCCCUCUGCUCUUCCAGCCCUCUUCAUCCUUUGCUACUGGCAAAUACAAUCUACUGAAGUGUGAAGAGAGUGGAAUGUGCUAAUGAAGGAAGUACCUGUGCCAAUGCUGUCUCACAUCUUUUGAAAUGAGUCAUCUGAGUUCCAGAAAAACAAGUAAGCAAGUCUGCUCCUUUGGGCUAGAAAAGUGGUAUGAGUUAGCCUACGCUCUGAGACCAGAAGCUGUAGGGCUGCUAAGACUGCUAAGCAAGUGUCCAGGAAGAAAUGAAGGCACAAGGUCUUCCCAGUUCUCUAGGGCCAAGACAAGCAGGGAAAUUAACCUUUCUUCCUCACUCCCUUCUAUGAAACCCAAUUUUGAUUCUUUUACCUGAGAUAAGUGGUAUAAGCUUUGUUUUUAGCCUAAACCAAACUUU
Molecule: long non-coding RNA, 1698 nt
Organism: Monodelphis domestica (gray short-tailed opossum)
Lineage: Eukaryota; Metazoa; Chordata; Mammalia; Didelphimorphia; Didelphidae
Source: RefSeq, a predicted model, not a curated record